This 910-nucleotide ribosomal RNA is filed under the name uncultured bacterium. Its description in RNAcentral is "bacterial SSU rRNA". It matches the Rfam family "Bacterial small subunit ribosomal RNA", at positions 33 to 925 of the family's 1533-position model. The record is from RNAcentral.
ACGCUGGCGGCGUGCCUAAUACAUGCAAGUAGAACGCUGAAGCUUGGUGCUUGCACCGAGCGGAUGAGUUGCGAACGGGUGAGUAACGCGUAGGUAACCUGCCUCUUAGCGGGGGAUAACUAUUGGAAACGAUAGCUAAUACCGCAUAAAAGUCGACAUCGCAUGAUGUUGACUUGAAAGGUGCAAUUGCAUCACUAAGAGAUGGACCUGCGUUGUAUUAGCUAGUUGGUGAGGUAACGGCUCACCAAGGCGACGAUACAUAGCCGACCUGAGAGGGUGAUCGGCCACACUGGGACUGAGACACGGCCCAGACUCCUACGGGAGGCAGCAGUAGGGAAUCUUCGGCAAUGGGGGCAACCCUGACCGAGCAACGCCGCGUGAGUGAAGAAGGUUUUCGGAUCGUAAAGCUCUGUUGUAAGAGAAGAACGAGUGUGAGAGUGGAAAGUUCACACUGUGACGGUAACUUACCAGAAAGGGACGGCUAACUACGUGCCAGCAGCCGCGGUAAUACGUAGGUCCCGAGCGUUAUCCGGAUUUAUUGGGCGUAAAGCGAGCGCAGGCGGUUAGAUAAGUCUGAAGUUAAAGGCUGUGGCUUAACCAUAGUACGCUUUGGAAACUGUUUAACUUGAGUGCAGAAGGGGAGAGUGGAAUUCCAUGUGUAGCGGUGAAAUGCGUAGAUAUAUGGAGGAACACCGGUGGCGAAAGCGGCUCUCUGGUCUGUAACUGACGCUGAGGCUCGAAAGCGUGGGGAGCAAACAGGAUUAGAUACCCUGGUAGUCCACGCCGUAAACGAUGAGUGCUAGGUGUUGGGUCCUUUCCGGGACUCAGUGCCGCAGCUAACGCAUUAAGCACUCCGCCUGGGGAGUACGACCGCAAGGUUGAAACUCAAAGGAAUUGACGGGGGCCCGCA